Long non-coding RNA from Solanum tuberosum (potato), 537 nucleotides. RefSeq lists it as uncharacterized. Lineage: Eukaryota; Viridiplantae; Streptophyta; Magnoliopsida; Solanales; Solanaceae. The record is from RefSeq and is a predicted model, not a curated record. The transcript is spliced from 2 exons.
UUUAGGGUUACAAGUGUGCCUCCACAGGUACUCCCAUAGCCAAAAUCAAACUUGUGCUUCUCCUGCUUUGUCUUUCCUCUGUUACUCUUUAUGGUUUUGCUCUUUCAGGUUAAGGAGACAAACCAAGCAAAGGGAAAGGUUAAGGAGACAAACCAAGCAAAGGGAAAGGCAAAAAAACUUGUUAACUAGCACCGUGGUUAACACUGUGGGUAUUGUGACUAACACUGUUGCUCUUAUGCAUUAGACUUGUAUCUGCUAUGGCUAGGACUUGUGGUUGUUAAGCUUGUAAUUGUGUUGUUAAGACAUUCUAUUUUUGCCUGUGUUAAGCUUCUAAUUGUGCUAUUAAAACCUUCUAUUUUGUGCCUGUCUUACGCUUGUACUCGUGUUGUUAAGACCUUUUGUUUUGAGCCUUUGUUAAGAUUGUAAUUGUGUUGUUAAGACCUUCUGUUUUGUGCAUGUGUUAAGAUUGUACUUGUUUGUUUUACUCUUCAGUUACUCUUUUGAGAGUUAUUGUAUAGCUUUGUUGUCCUUGAAGAA